Molecule: long non-coding RNA, 937 nt
Filed under: Androctonus crassicauda
Lineage: Eukaryota; Metazoa; Arthropoda; Arachnida; Scorpiones; Buthidae
Source: RNAcentral
GAAAUGAUAAAAAAACUUUUUUUUUCUGGUGUUUUUUUUUUUUUAAAUCUGGUGUGUCAAAAUACCUACGCGUGUUUUUAGUAACGUCUUGUAGAAUAAAAAUGGAACGGGCCAAACAAUCGAAUUUCGUGAAGUUUUCGUAUCAAGUCUGGUUUUGUGUAAAUCUUCGGAUAAUUUACACCCGACUAUCGACAUCUGAUACGAUAUAGGAAAACAUAUCUCUCUCUCUGUAUGGUCACCAAACUGUAACGAAUUUAUGGAAAACAUAUGUUUUAAAUUUCAAAACUUAUAAAUUUGCUUUACUUAUUUUUGAUUAAAAGAUAAUUCGAUAUUGCAAACAUCCGUUCACUUUUGGUAUGUUAUGAACGGAAACAUCCUUCCCGUUUUCACAUGUACAGGUUGAGUUUAGGAUUUCCCGUAUUUUGGGCACUUCGCAGAAGCUUUUCUCUGGUAGGAAGCCAAAAUUUAAGUAAAAUGCAGACCGUUCGGAUCUUCUUUUAACGCUGCGUCACUGUCUGAUGAUAAAUAAUGUCAGUCGAUUUCAUAUCACAGUAUUUCUUCUAGAAAUCCUUUCUCUUUUCUUUUUCUAUAAAUUCGUAAUGAUCAAUAUUGAAGGCAUUGUUAGAUUUAUAUUAUCCAAGGCAUUUUUCGGUUUUUAUAUGAUGAUAAACUUUCCUAUUUUCGACUUUUAUGACCCACCAUCUUCUCCGUCCUCCAUUUUUAUAUACGACGAUGAUCCUUUCCCCUCCAUCCCGAUUUUAAGCGAGGAUGAUCGUCGUCGUAUGAAAGUCGACGAAAUAUAGAAUUGUAUAGGAUCCAUACCGCAAUUUUUACUAGGAUAAUAUCCGAUCCUGUCGUCGUUCUAGCGUAUCCAUAAUUCAAACGACACGUUUUCCAACCAUAGUCUGUAUAAAAAGGACAAAACGUUAUAUGGGAU